RNAcentral lists this long non-coding RNA (316 nucleotides) under Brassica rapa (field mustard). Its description in RNAcentral is "long non-coding RNA (BRAP_LNC005231)". The record is from RNAcentral. Lineage: Eukaryota; Viridiplantae; Streptophyta; Magnoliopsida; Brassicales; Brassicaceae.
AAAAGGUAAAUAUACACUUAUACUCCUAGGGUUAACUAAUUCAAACCUUAGGGUUUAGAGUUAAGGGGUGAAGAUUUGGGUUUGAGGUUUAAAAUUUUAUAAAAUAGAAAAUAAAUAUUAAAAAUUUGAAAAUAAAAAUUUUAAAAAUAGUUUCAAAAAGUAUUUUCGAAUUACAAAAAGAAAAUUUGAAAAAAAAAUAAAAAAAAAUCGAAAAAAAAUUCAAAAGAAAAAAAAAAUUAUAAAAAAAUUUGAAUUUGAAAACAUAUAGUCUAAAACUAUAAAAAAAUAUUUUUUUUUAUUUUUUAUAUAUCUAGGG